UACGGGAGGCAGCAGUGGGGAAUAUUGCACAAUGGGCGCAAGCCUGAUGCAGCCAUGCCGCGUGUAUGAAGAAGGCCUUCGGGUUGUAAAGUACUUUCAGUCGUGAGGAAGGUGUUAAGGUUAAUAACCUUGGCAAUUGACGUUAGCGACAGAAGAAGCACCGGCUAACUCCGUGCCAGCAGCCGCGGUAAUACGGAGGGUGCGAGCGUUAAUCGGAAUUACUGGGCGUAAAGGGCACGCAGGCGGUUAAUUAAGUUGGAUGUGAAAUCCCCGGGCUUAACCUGGGAAUGGCAUUCAAGACUGGUUAGCUAGAGUCUUGUAGAGGGGGUAGAAUUCCAUGUGUAGCGGUGAAAUGCGUAGAGAUGUGGAGGAAUACCGGUGGCGAAGGCGGCCCCUGGACAAAGGCUGACGCUCAUGUGCGAAAGCGUGGGGAGCAAACG
Molecule: ribosomal RNA, 440 nt
Filed under: uncultured bacterium
Lineage: Bacteria
Description: bacterial SSU rRNA
Rfam family: Bacterial small subunit ribosomal RNA
Source: RNAcentral